UUGCUCUUCAACGAGGAAUACCUAGUAAGCGUAAGUCAUCAACUUGCGUUGAUUACGUCCCUGCCCUUUGUACACACCGCCCGUCGCUACUACCGAUUGAAUGGCUUGGUGAGAUCUCCGGAUUGGCGUUGGGGAGCCGGCAACGGCANCCCCUUGGCUGAGAAGCUGAUCAAACCUGGUCAUUUAGAGGAAGUAAAAGUCGUAACAAGGUUUCCGUAGGUGAACCUGCGGAAGGAUCAUUAAUGAUUGACCCUCUGGGUCUUAUCUUAACAUCCCUCACCUCUAUGAACCGUUUGACCUCCGGGUCUUACAAAAACCAUAACAAACAUCAGUGUAAAGAACGUCUUGUUAUCUUAACAAAAACAAAACUUUCAACAACGGAUCUCUUGGCUCUCGCAUCGAUGAAGAACGCAGCGAAAUGCGAUAAGUAAUGUGAAUUGCAGAAUUCAGUGAAUCAUCGAAUCUUUGAACGCACCUUGCGCCUUUUGGUAUUCCGAAAGGCAUGCCUGUUUGAGUGUCAUGAAAUCUCAAUCCCAUCUGGUUUAUGACCGGGUGUUGGACUUGGACAUGGGCGUCUGCCGGUCAAACGGCUCGCCUCAAAUGACUUAGUGGGAUCGCUUGCAUCCGUGACAGACGUAAUAAGUUUCGUCUUGUCCCUUGCUCUGCGUACGCCUGCUCAGAACCAAGCUGUCUUGCCUUCAUUGGCCUGACGCACUUUUUUUUGACUCUGACCUCAAAUCAGGUAGGACUACCCGCUGAACUUAAGCAUAUCAAUAAGCGGAGGA
RNAcentral lists this ribosomal RNA (785 nucleotides) under uncultured fungus. Its description in RNAcentral is "eukaryotic LSU rRNA". The stretch from base 1 to 242 matches the Rfam family "Eukaryotic small subunit ribosomal RNA", at positions 1593 to 1831 of the family's 1831-position model. Lineage: Eukaryota; Fungi. The record is from RNAcentral.